GCCUGGGUGGUGAAAUUGGUAUACACGGCAGACUUAAAAUCUGCUUCCAGCAAUGGAGUGGGGGUUCGAGUCCCCCCCUAGGCA
This 84-nucleotide transfer RNA is filed under the name Pseudomonadales bacterium. RNAcentral's name for it is "tRNA-Leu". It matches the Rfam family "tRNA". Rfam says of the family: Transfer RNA (tRNA) molecules are approximately 80 nucleotides in length. Their secondary structure includes four short double-helical elements and three loops (D, anti-codon, and T loops). Further hydrogen bonds mediate the characteristic L-shaped molecular structure. tRNAs have two regions of fundamental functional importance: the anti-codon, which is responsible for specific mRNA codon recognition, and the 3' end, to which the tRNAs corresponding amino acid is attached (by aminoacyl-tRNA synthetases). tRNAs cope with the degeneracy of the genetic code in two manners: having more than one tRNA (with a specific anti-codon) for a particular amino acid; and 'wobble' base-pairing, i.e. permitting non-standard base-pairing at the 3rd anti-codon position. Lineage: Bacteria; Pseudomonadati; Pseudomonadota; Gammaproteobacteria; Pseudomonadales. The record is from RNAcentral.